RNAcentral lists this ribosomal RNA (514 nucleotides) under uncultured bacterium. RNAcentral describes it as "bacterial SSU rRNA". It matches the Rfam family "Bacterial small subunit ribosomal RNA", at positions 9 to 519 of the family's 1533-position model. The record is from RNAcentral.
GAGUUUGAUCCUGGCUCAGGAUGAACGCUGGCGGCGUGCUUAACACAUGCAAGUCGAACGGAGUACCCCUGAAGGAGUUUUCGGACAACUGAUGGGACUACUUAGUGGCGGACGGGUGAGUAACGCGUGAGUAACCUGCCUUGGAGUGGGGAAUAACAGCUGGAAACAGCUGCUAAUACCGCAUAAUAUGUCUGUGUCGCAUGGCACUGGACAUCAAAGAUUUAUCGCUCUGAGAUGGACUCGCGUCUGAUUAGCUAGUUGGCGGGGUAACGGCCCACCAAGGCGACGAUCAGUAGCCGGACUGAGAGGUUGGCCGGCCACAUUGGGACUGAGACACGGCCCAGACUCCUACGGGAGGCAGCAGUGGGGAAUAUUGGGCAAUGGGCGCAAGCCUGACCCAGCAACGCCGCGUGAAGGAAGAAGGCUUUCGGGUUGUAAACUUCUUUUCUCAGGGGCGAAGCAAGUGACGGUACCUGAGGAAUAAGCCACGGCUAACUACGUGCCAGCAGCCGCG